GGGGAAUAUUGCACAAUGGGCGCAAGCCUGAUGCAGCGACGCCGCGUGGAGGAUGAAGGCCUUCGGGUCGUAAACUCCUGUCUGGGGGGAUGAAAACUGACAGUACCCCCGGAGGAAGCCCCGGCUAACUACGUGCCAGCAGCCGCGGUAAUACGUAGGGGGCGAGCGUUGUCCGGAAUUACUGGGCGUAGAGCGCGCGCAGGCGGCUUGUUAAGUCAGGUGUCAAAAUGCGGGGCUCAACCCCGUAUCGCACUUGAAACUGGCAGGCUUGAGUGCAGGAGAGGGAAGUGGAAUUCCUAGUGUAGCGGUGAAAUGCGUAGAUAUUAGGAGGAACACCAGUGGCGAAGGCGACUUCCUGGACUGUAACUGACGCUGAGGCGCGAAAGCUAGGGGAGCAAAC
Molecule: ribosomal RNA, 400 nt
Filed under: uncultured bacterium
Lineage: Bacteria
Description: bacterial SSU rRNA
Rfam family: Bacterial small subunit ribosomal RNA
Source: RNAcentral